This 708-nucleotide long non-coding RNA is filed under the name Salmo trutta (river trout). RNAcentral's name for it is "lncRNA (ENSSTUG00000028386.1)". The record is from RNAcentral. Lineage: Eukaryota; Metazoa; Chordata; Actinopteri; Salmoniformes; Salmonidae.
GUUGCCUUCUAUUGUUACAACAUGGAAGUGCUACCACAGGUCUGAUUUGAAUACAGUCUAAUAUGUACUUUUCCAUUUUAGUACCAUAAGAGACACGAGAGAGAUCUACUAGACCAGAAGAAGGAGAAGGAAGAGACACUACUGCUGGAGAUGGAACAGCUAGAGCGACAGCAGAGCGAAGCCAAGCUCACCAGUGAAAAACACACCGAAAAGAAACGGAGGGACAGUAAGACAGGGUUGUCAGGGACCAAGGGCCUGUCUGGAUCCACGUCCGGGGCCACUUUGUCCACCUCCUCCGGUAAAGAGUUGAGGAAGGCCAAACUGGCACGGAGUCGGUCGCUUAGCAGCCACCCUACUACACCCAAGAUGGCUAAUCCAGACAAAACUCUAAAGGUCAAGGAUUCAGGAAGCUGUCCUGGAAAAGGGAAGAACUUGCUUCCUAUGAAUGCGGACGAGGCUCUGCGGUCGCACCACUUCAGCGUGGCAGCAGCGUCGUCAGUGCUGUCUCCAACUCCCUCGGCUUCCUCCAUGCCCGUCCUUAUCCGCAGCAACACCACCAACACCCUGGUGGACCACCCACACCAACACCAGCACCGCAGCAGCACCCUGGACCACCGCACCACCAACGGGAGCAAGGACACCCAGUCCAGAAAACUCUCAAUACAAAGGAAGUCCAACUCUUUCGGUAUGCAGUCGGGGAGGGAGUAA